UCCUCAUACCAGUGAGAAUGCCCUUAACAUCUAAACAGAUAAAGAGGAGCAGGUAUUAAGCACACUAAAAGUAGCUCAUGAUGCCUUGCUCAACCACGCCCCCAAGGGAUACAGCAGUGAUAAAAAUUUAGCAAUGAACGAAAGUUCGACUAAGUUAUGUUAUUAUGAGGGUUGGUAAAUUUCGUGCCAGCCACCGCGGUCAUACGAUUAACCCAAGUUAAUAAAUUUCGGCGUAAAGCGUGUUUUAAAAUCAAAUAUUGACCAAACUGUAAAAAGUACUAGUCAUAAACAAAACCAGCAACGAAAGCGAUUUUAGAAUCUUUGAGCACACGAUAGCUAAGACCCAAACUGGGAUUAGAUACCCCACUAUGCUUAGCCUUAAACCUUAAUAAAUUCAUAACAAAAUUAUUCGCCAGAGAACUACAAGCCAGAGCUUAAAACUCAAAGGACUUGGCGGUGCUUUAUACCCACCUAGAGGAGCCUGUUCUAUAAUCGAUAAACCCCGCUGAACCUUACCACUCUUUGCCAACUCAGCUUAUAUACCGCCAUCUUCAGCAAACCCUAAAAAGGAAUAAAAGUAAGCAUAAUUACCAUCAUAAAAACGUUAGGUCAAGGUGUAGCCUAUAGAGUGGAAAGCAAUGGGCUACAUUUUCUAAAAUAGAAUAUACGGAGGUCCCUAUGAAAUCCGAGGCUAAAGGAGGAUUU
Molecule: ribosomal RNA, 705 nt
Filed under: Nesolagus timminsi (Annamite striped rabbit)
Lineage: Eukaryota; Metazoa; Chordata; Mammalia; Lagomorpha; Leporidae
Description: partial 12S ribosomal RNA
Rfam family: Bacterial small subunit ribosomal RNA
Source: RNAcentral